AUGGCAGCGUUGAAAAGUGUAAGAAAAAAAAAAAGAAGAAGAAGAAGAAGAAGAAGAAGAAAGAAGAACAUCAACAGCAGAAAAGAAAGCCUAAACAGCCAAGAGAGAGCGGACUGAGAACUACUCACGGUACAGACAGCUGGUCGACCCCCGAUCGGGUAACUGGUCAACCCGCCGCAUGGAGAGACGGACGGACAACUGGUCGACCUUCGCCACCGGUGGCUGCCGGCGUCCGUCCUCUCCGGCGGGGACGGCGGGGGACCGCCGCCUCCCGAGAGACCCCCCCGGCGGCGCGCGGCGACGACCGCCCGCCGCCGCCGCCCCGCGGCCCGCACCCCCCCCGGGGGGGAGGGAGGGGGACGGGGACGGGGCGGGGGAGGGCGGCCGCGCGCACGCGCGCGCGCGCGGGGAGAGGAGACGGGCGACGGGCCGCGGGGGCGGGCCCGGGCGGAGGGGGGUCGCCCCGGGCGUGGGGGGGGGAGAGCGCGGCGACGGGUCCUGGCUCCUCGCCCCGGGAUUCGGCGAUCGCUGCUGCCGGGGCGGGGGACCCCCGGGCCACCUUCCCCGCCGGGGCCUUCCCAGCCGUCCCGGAGCCGGUCGCGGCGCACCGCCGCGGUGGAAGUGCGCCCGGCGGCGGCCGGUCGCGGCCGGGGGCGGUCCCCCCCGACCACCCCCGGCCCCGCC
Molecule: long non-coding RNA, 684 nt
Filed under: Castor canadensis (American beaver)
Lineage: Eukaryota; Metazoa; Chordata; Mammalia; Rodentia; Castoridae
Description: lncRNA (ENSCCNG00000010583.1)
Source: RNAcentral